RNAcentral lists this ribosomal RNA (449 nucleotides) under uncultured bacterium. RNAcentral's name for it is "bacterial SSU rRNA". It matches the Rfam family "Bacterial small subunit ribosomal RNA", at positions 355 to 796 of the family's 1533-position model. The record is from RNAcentral.
UGGGGAAUCUUGCGCAAUGGGCGAAAGCCUGACGCAGCAACGCCGCGUGUGUGAUGAAGGUCUUCGGAUCGUAAAGCACUGUCGCGAGGGAAGAUACGCCACCGGCCAACAUCCGGUGGCUAAGACGGUACCUCGAGAGGAAGCACCGGCUAACUCUGUGCCAGCAGCCGCGGUAAUACAGAGGGUGCGAGCGUUGUUCGGAAUCAUUGGGCGUAAAGCGCUUGUAGGCGGCCUGUCAAGUCGCGUGUGAAAUCCCCUGGCUUAACCAGGGAAGUGCGCGCGAAACUGGCGGGCUUGAGUGCCGGAGAGGGUCGCGGAAUUCCCGGUGUAGAGGUGAAAUUCGUAGAUAUCGGGAGGAACACCAGUGGCGAAGGCGGCGACCUGGACGGACACUGACGCUGAGACGCGAAAGCGUGGGGAGCAAACAGGAUUAGAUACCCCCGUAGUCC